Molecule: ribosomal RNA, 495 nt
Filed under: uncultured bacterium
Lineage: Bacteria
Description: partial 16S ribosomal RNA
Rfam family: Bacterial small subunit ribosomal RNA
Source: RNAcentral
GAUGAACGCUGGCGGCGUGCCUAAUACAUGCAAGUCGAACGCUCAAAGGGGAGCUUGCUUCUCUGGAUGAGUUGCGAACGGGUGAGUAACGCAUAGGUAACCUGCCUGGUAGCGGGGGAUAACUAUUGGAAACGAUAGCUAAUACCCCAUAAAAGUAGAUGUUGCAUGACAUUUGCUUAAAAGGUGCAGUUGUAUCAUUACCAGAUGGACCUGCGUCGCAUUAGUUGGUUGGUGGGGUAACGGCUCAACAAGGAGACGAUACAUCGCCGACCCGGGAGGGUGGACGGGCAAACUGGGACUGGGGCAAGGCCCAAGCUUCCUCGGGGAGCAAGAGGAGGGGAACUUCGGCCAAGGGGGGAAAGCUGACCGAAGAAAGCCGGGGUGGUGAAGGAAGGUUUCGGGUCGUAAAACUCUGUUUUAAGGGAAGGAAGAGUUGGGGAGUUGAAAGUUCACGCUGUGACGGUACCUUACCAGAAAGCGACGGCUAACUACGUG